RNAcentral lists this ribosomal RNA (524 nucleotides) under uncultured bacterium. Its description in RNAcentral is "bacterial SSU rRNA". It matches the Rfam family "Bacterial small subunit ribosomal RNA", at positions 8 to 518 of the family's 1533-position model. The record is from RNAcentral.
AGAAUUUGAUCUUGGUUCAGGAUGAACGCUAGCUACAGGCUUAACACAUGCAAGGUCGAGGGGCAGCAUGUCGUGUGCUUGCACACGAUGAUGGCGACCGGCGCACGGGUGAGUAACGCGUAUCCAACCUGCCCAUGACUCCGGGAUAGCCCGCUGAAAAGCGGAUUAACACCGGAUGGGGUCGAAAGAGGACAUCUGAUUUCGACCAAAGCUUCGGCGGUCAUGGAUGGGGAUGCGUCUGAUUAGCUUGUUGGCGGGGUAACGGCCCACCAAGGCUACGAUCAGUAGGGGUUCUGAGAGGAAGGUCCCCCACAUUGGAACUGAGACACGGUCCAAACUCCUACGGGAGGCAGCAGUGAGGAAUAUUGGUCAAUGGGCGGAAGCCUGAACCAGCCAAAGUAGCGUGCAGGAAGACGGCCCUACGGGUUGUAAACUGCUUUUUUGCGGGGAUAAAGUGCCCUACGCGUUAGGGUUUUGCAGGUACCGCACGAAUAAGGACCGGCUAAUUCCGUGCCAGCAGCAGC